CAUUCUAGGACCUUCCUUGGAUGAGGCUUGGAUGAGAGAUGGGAUGGACUAGAUGGCUGGAAUAGCUUAAGAGCUAGAGAGACAGGCUUCCCAAUAGAUCUGGUUUGGAGAGGGAGAGGGAAGAUGGUUAGGUCAGAGCUGGGGCCAGAAACUGAGACUCCAGACUCCCCACUUAGUGGCUGUUUUCCUUGCCCCAUCACUGCGUUCCCGCCCAUUUUGUAGAGAGGAUUAAAAAUAGAGACCCAGAAGGAGCAAGGGGAUUGGCUGAAGGAAUGUGAGUCAGUGACAGGUAGGGGCACACUCAGAUGCCCCUCAGGGCCUGGAGCCAUUGUGGGGGGCAGUCCACAUGUGCACACACACACUCAGAGGAGUGCAGAUGAGUGGAGGAUGGGCUUGGUGCUAUCUCCAGAUCAUAUAUGGACUUAGGAGCUGCUGCCCAGCAAGCCAGCUUGGAGGGAGAAGGGCCCAGCCCAGCCCUGAUCCAGUUGGAAAGUGUGACUCAGCCGUGCUGUUGCUCAAGUUGCCUGGUGUUUGGCCUGUCACUGGGGCAGCCUGAGCCCUGAGCCCUGAGCCCUGAGCCCCAGUGUAAACAAUGGCUUUAUAAGGUCUCCAGGGAAGGGAGUGGGGCGGGAGGGAGCACCAGGUUGGAGAGGGAGGUCGGGAUCCCCGGGACGAUAGCCACAGCUGGAAGAAGCUUCAGAGAGAGGCUGCCUUUGCAUCAUGGUACAGCUCGGGAAACAAGCCCAGUCUGGGAUAGGGAUGACCCUAGGGGCACGUGGCACAUCAGCAGCAGACCCAGAACCCUCUCACUCAUCCUAAAUUCUUGUAAGGUCUCAAAUGAAAUAGGGAAUAACUGUCCUGUUCUAAAGAGGGGGAAACUGAGUCAUAGAAAAGGGCCUUAUCUAGCACCCACAACUGGUUAGGGAUACAGUCUGGACUGAAACAGAGGUGUUCGGUGUUCUGCCUCCCAGGUUUCUUCUCUGAAGGAGUCCAGGUGAGCUGGGGGUAGGCCCAGCCCUACGACAGUUCUGAGUUUCUCCAUAAGGGCACAAGAUGGGAGGUGGUCUUGGGUUCUCAGGUUCUUGAGAAUAAGGAGCAAUUGUUGCCAUUAUACCUUCCCCACCACAGGAAACUCAUUCAGCAACAUUGAAUGCUUGCUAUGUGCCAGGUAUGGCAGAUAGGAGAGAGCAAACAGGGAUCAAGGCAGAAGAGGUCUUGCUCUGGGGGUUGAGGGACAGGGGAAAAGGAGCCAGAGAGCAGACUCCAGCUUCAGAGCUCUGGGAGCUGUCAGUUGCUUAAUAGGCACAACCCACUCACUCCAGAGUGGGGAAAAGGCUUUGCCAACACCCAGAACUGGGUGCCUGGGUCCCAUGCGGCCUAGCCUGCACUUACUAAGCCGUGGGGCUUGAAACAAAUGGCUCUUCUGCUCUGUGACUCAGUUUCCUUAUCUGUGAAGGGCAGCUAGCAUUCUGAAGGAUGGCCAGAAGGGUGGUUCCCCCGCCCCAAGCAUGGCGUAGAUGGUCCAUUGGUAUUGGCUGGGAUCCUCAUCUGCCUCCCCUGCUCUACCCAAGGCAGGUGAUAAGGGUUAGAGAACCCCUCUGCUGCCCACACGUUCCCUGGCCUCCAUCUCCAGCAGCAGGGUUAUCCCCACCCCCUGUCAAAGAAUAGGGGUCCCUGGGCCUCUCAACAGGAAGCACCAGAUCAGGCAGCUAGCAGACAAUCAUCGGUGGACCACAGGGUCACUAGAGUGAGACCUGUCCAUAGAUAAAGAUUGGCCAGUGAUGAAGCCCAUCUGGGUGCAAAGGCCGAGCUGAGAGGCUUCUACCAACUGGAGUGUGCCAGUGAGGGUGAGCAGAAGGCGGUCUCCAGGGAGAACAUGGGCAGGGUUUGGAGCCAGCACCUCCCCAGGGUUGGAGGAAGCAGACCCAGGACCUGCCUGACUGGGAUGGGGCUCUCUUCUGCCAUCUCCGCCUCCACCUGCCUAGCUCUGCUACUUCGCCCCGAGGGAUGCCUCCAGGCUUGGGUGGAUGAAGCCAGGGGCUUCCUGCCUUCCUGGAAGGCUUUUCCCUGUCUGGAGUUUAUGAAAGACCAGCAGGCAAUGCGGCAAUAAAAAAGACCUUGGGGUAGAGGGGCGCCACAAGAGGCGGGGCCGGCAAUGACAUCCAACCCCGUGCCCCCUCCCUGCAGGAUGCUGGUGGACUGUGUGCCCCUGGUGGAGGUGGAGGACAUGAUGAUCAUGGGCAAGAAGCCUGACCCCAAGUGUGUCUUCACCUAUGUGCAGUCGCUCUACAACCACCUGCGACGCCACGAACUGCGCCUACGCGGCAAGAAUGUCUAGCCUCCCCGCCCGCAUGGCCAGCCAGUGGCAAGCUGCCGCCCCCACUCUCCGGGCACCGUCCCCUCCCUGUGCGUCCGCCCACCGCUGCCCUGUCUGUUGCGACACCCUCCCCUCCACAUACACACGCAGCGUUUUGAUAAAUUAUUGGUUUUCAACGAUCCUGACUCCUCUCUGCGUCUCCUGGGGUUGGGGAGGGGGUUUGAACCGAAGGCAGCUCGGCAAGGUCUCCAACUCCAGCAGCCAGGCACUUGGGGAUGCGAGGUCCCGCUGGGGUCCUCAGAGGUUCUUCUUCCGACCUCCCACCCCACCCGCCCGCAGCAA
RNAcentral lists this small RNA (2659 nucleotides) under Pongo abelii (Sumatran orangutan). RNAcentral's name for it is "retained intron". Lineage: Eukaryota; Metazoa; Chordata; Mammalia; Primates; Hominidae. The record is from RNAcentral.